Molecule: ribosomal RNA, 305 nt
Filed under: uncultured bacterium
Lineage: Bacteria
Description: bacterial SSU rRNA
Rfam family: Bacterial small subunit ribosomal RNA
Source: RNAcentral
UUUAUCCUACGGGAGGCAGCAGUGAGGAAUAUUGGUCAAUGGGCUUACGCCUGAACCAGCCAAGUCGCGUGAGGGAAGACUGCCCUAUGGGUUGUAAACCUCUUUUGUCAGGGAGCAAUUGGCGCUACGUGUAGCGUUAUCGAGAGUACCUGAAGAAAAAGCAUCGGCUAACUCCGUGCCAGCAGCCGCGGUAAUACGGAGGAUGCGAGCGUUAUCCGGAUUUAUUGGGUUUAAAGGGUGCGCAGGCGGAAUGUCAAGUCAGCGGUAAAAUUUCGGGGCUCAACCCCGUCGUGCCGUUGAAACUG